CCUACGGGGGGCUGCAGUGGGGAAUAUUGGACAAUGGGCGCAAGCCUGAUCCAGCCAUGCCGCGUGAGUGAUGAAGGCCUUAGGGUUGUAAAGCUCUUUCGUCAGGGAAGAUAAUGACGGUACCUGAAGAAGAAGCCCCGGCUAACUUCGUGCCAGCAGCCGCGGUAAUACGAAGGGGGCUAGCGUUGCUCGGAAUCACUGGGCGUAAAGCGCACGUAGGCGGCUUUCUAAGUCAGGGGUGAAAUCCUGGAGCUCAACUGCGGAACUGCCUUUGAUACUGGAAAGCUUGAGUUCGGGAGAGGUGAGUGGAACUGCGAGUGUAGAGGUGAAAUUCGUAGAUAUUCGCAAGAACACCAGUGGCGAAGGCGGCUCACUGGCCCGAUACUGACGCUGAGGUGCGAAAGCGUGGGGAGCAAACAGGAUUAGAUACCCCGGUAGUC
Molecule: ribosomal RNA, 440 nt
Filed under: uncultured bacterium
Lineage: Bacteria
Description: partial 16S ribosomal RNA
Rfam family: Bacterial small subunit ribosomal RNA
Source: RNAcentral